GCAGGGGUUCCCGAGUGGUCAAAGGGGCAGGGCUUAGGACCCUGUGAUGUAGAUCUUCGAGCGUUCGAAUCGCUCCUCCUGCA
Molecule: transfer RNA, 83 nt
Filed under: Thermoplasmatales archaeon
Lineage: Archaea; Methanobacteriati; Thermoplasmatota; Thermoplasmata; Thermoplasmatales
Description: tRNA-Leu
Rfam family: tRNA
About the family: Transfer RNA (tRNA) molecules are approximately 80 nucleotides in length. Their secondary structure includes four short double-helical elements and three loops (D, anti-codon, and T loops). Further hydrogen bonds mediate the characteristic L-shaped molecular structure. tRNAs have two regions of fundamental functional importance: the anti-codon, which is responsible for specific mRNA codon recognition, and the 3' end, to which the tRNAs corresponding amino acid is attached (by aminoacyl-tRNA synthetases). tRNAs cope with the degeneracy of the genetic code in two manners: having more than one tRNA (with a specific anti-codon) for a particular amino acid; and 'wobble' base-pairing, i.e. permitting non-standard base-pairing at the 3rd anti-codon position.
Source: RNAcentral